Gopherus flavomarginatus (Mexican gopher tortoise) is the source of this 264-nucleotide long non-coding RNA. RefSeq lists it as uncharacterized. NCBI's taxonomy places the organism in Eukaryota, Metazoa, Chordata, Testudines, Testudinidae. The record is from RefSeq and is a predicted model, not a curated record. The transcript has 3 exons.
GGACUCUGCUUGACCCCACUCAGAGAGCCCUCUACAGAGAUGUCAUGCAGGGGAACUAUGAGACGGUGGUCUUGCUGGAGUUUCUGGUUUUCCAACGUGAUGUGAUCUCCCAGCUGGAACAAGGGGAAGAGCAUUGGGUCCCAGAGCUCCAGGGUUCAGAGGAAAGAGAGAUCCUGAGAUCUCCCCGCACAGAUGAGGAAACAUUAAACCAACUCAGAAUCUAUCAGGCCUUUCUCAACAUCAGAGAAUCCACACAGGGGAGAG